This 301-nucleotide ribosomal RNA is filed under the name uncultured bacterium. RNAcentral's name for it is "partial 16S ribosomal RNA". It matches the Rfam family "Bacterial small subunit ribosomal RNA", at positions 509 to 807 of the family's 1533-position model. The record is from RNAcentral.
CAGCAGCCACGGGAACACGAAGGGUGCAAGCGUUACUCGGAAUUACUGGGCGUAAAGCGUGCGUAGGUGGUGGUUUAAGUCCGUUGUGAAAGCCCUGGGCUCAACCUGGGAAUUGCAGUGGAUACUGGGUCACUAGAGUGUGGUAGAGGAUAGUGGAAUUUCCGGUGUAGCAGUGAAAUGCGUAGAGAUCGGAAGGAACAUCUGUGGCGAAGGCGACUAUCUGGGCCAACACUGACACUGAGGCACGAAAGCGUGGGGAGCAAACAGGAUUAGAUACCCCCGUAGUCCCUGUCUCUUAUAC